This 1916-nucleotide long non-coding RNA is filed under the name Scleropages formosus (Asian bonytongue). Its description in RNAcentral is "lncRNA (ENSSFOG00015027216.1)". The record is from RNAcentral. Lineage: Eukaryota; Metazoa; Chordata; Actinopteri; Osteoglossiformes; Osteoglossidae.
AUGAUUCCCGCUUGCGUUUUGUUCUCCAGCUUCCUUGAGGCGGCAGAGGGUCACACUCAACGUCUCCACACACCCAUCUGCGGUCCCAUGCUGCCUUUCUCAGCUUCCCCUUGGCCAGACUCCUUGGAGCCCUCAGUGGGGAAUAGCAGCAGAGGAACAGUAAAGACGAGUGCCCUUCGAGACUCAAAAGGAAGAAAAGCAACAAUGAACAUCCAUCCAUCCAUCCAUCCAUCGUCAACAACCGCUUGUCCCGAGCGGGGUUGCGGCAAGCCGGAGCCUAUCCCAGAAACACAGGGCGCAGGGCCGAAGGGGGAGGGGACACACCCAGGACGGGACGCCAGCGACAAUGAACAAACAACUGAAAACAGAAAAUGAAGCAGAGUCUCUGGUACCAGAGCGAUAGCCAGCACUACUGUGUCCGAAACGAACAGAAAUGAAACGAAGAUGCAAGUGACCAUGUUUUUAUACAGUACGAGACCUGACGUGUGUUCUUCGGCAGUUUGGCUUUUCUCAGUUUCCUCCGGCAUGGAGCUCCCUGGUGCCUUACCCAUGAAGGCUCUGUCACACGAUAGAGUGGACGCGCCAUCUGGGAGUCCUACGUCAGCUUUCCGAAUGAAUGCUGCAAAGUGUCGAAGGGACAAAGGCGAGGAGUCGCUCUCUCUUUAAUAAUGGCAGCUGCAACAACAAAAGUGUAAAAAAAUAUCUCCCCUAGGUUUCCUGUCUCUGAAACCCAAUCCUUCCAGAGACCAGAUACAUACUGGAACCAUUGAAAUCCCCAACCCAGGCCUUGCCAAGCAUGGGACGUGCUGUGGGGUCCCUGUUCCCCCCCAUCUGCAGUUGCAGACAGCUAUGCAGCUUGUCAGAUAGAAACAGCUGGGUGUGGGCUGGGAGUGUGGAGUGCGGGGCUGAGUCUCACAGCGGUGCCCGAAUGUCCACCGUCCCAGUUGGCAUCAGUCACAGUAUGCUGCACCCUCACACCAGUGUUUAGAAAACAGGCUAGUCUCAGCAUGACCUUAGUCCAGAACCUGAGGAUGAAACACCCCAGAAGAACCUCACUGGAUGCACCUGAAACUUGUGUCCCAAAUCUCAUGACCCUUGUACCGCGUGUGCACUCUUUUACUAGGCAGUUCUGGUUUGCUGGGGCCGUACUUCACCAGACUCUGCCUGCCGCUCAUCCAUAAACACGGCCGUUCGGAAGAUAAACCCGACAUCACAAUCACAGUGAGCAGCUGCUCGGUAGUAUUUUGGAGCGGCGCAUCGCAGGCUCUGUGUAAAAAGUCCUUUGUGCGAAACACAGGGCCAGAAUACGCCUACAAGGUACAGGGGCUGUUGCCUUUCCCUGGAUCUGACUUUGCACGUUUACUCCCAGAGAGCCACUGCAGCUGAUGUGCCGGUGCCAAAGGUGCAUCAGAAAAACAGAUUAGCGCACAUCCGGACUCCAGAAACAUCUUCCCUUGAUGGGUGCCUCACCGGCUGGGGGUGAGAGUGAAAAUACACUUCCUCUCCGUUCAGGUCACAAUUCGGAGCUGCUCAGACAGCAUCGAGUACCUAAAUGCGUACGUUUAACUCCAGUGAUGGGAUUAUUUUGAGUUCCCGAGCGAGUCUAGAGGCAGAAUAAUAGGAAUCGCAGUUUAACUUCCUUCCACUGUCCUAUAUCCCGAUGUAUGAGAAACCUCCUGGUGUACCUGUAGAUCUUGCAGAGGUGCAGUCACUCCAGCCCACAGUUUCAUUGUUUUGCACCUUGGAACAAAAGUUGAGGCUGAUUUUGCAUGUUGUGCGCUGCUUUCCAGCACCUUGGCUUUUAUAGAACAAUCGCGUUUCCACACUGAUUUCAAUGACACCCCUCAGCCCAGUCUAUGACCCUGAAUGCACACCAAGAUGCUACAGCUUCACAAAUAAAGAGACCUGAGAUCACA